CCAAAGCUGCUGUUUAUUUUAACCAGUAUGAACAUGUUUACGUUCUUUUAAAACUGACAUUUUACUGCAUUGAGGAUUCAACGACAAGAACAAUGAAUUUGGAGAUGUGUUAAUGCCAAAUAAAUCCUGUUAAGCGGUCAAAAUGACAUCUUAUAGCCCGACAAAAAUAGAAAUACAAAGUAAGAGACAGCGAUCGCCGAUGGCGAUGCACAGGAACAAUUGUAUGAAAUAUAAACUCGAUAUAAGACUGCUAAUUAAGUGCUAACUAUGCUUUUGUAAGAACAGAGUAGACCAGACACAGUACUAACUAAAUGCGGUGCUUUACAAAUAAAACUUUCA
Paramuricea clavata is the source of this 339-nucleotide non-coding RNA. The record is from the annotation of a GenBank genome assembly. Lineage: Eukaryota; Metazoa; Cnidaria; Anthozoa; Malacalcyonacea; Plexauridae.